Molecule: long non-coding RNA, 913 nt
Filed under: Homo sapiens (human)
Lineage: Eukaryota; Metazoa; Chordata; Mammalia; Primates; Hominidae
Description: HSALNT0086252
Source: RNAcentral
CCAGAAGCGCCUCGCCUGUCCUCUGGGGAGUCGGGGAGCGUGACCAGAGAGAGUGACGUCUGUUCGCCUUUUUCUUUGCUUUCCACUGGCUUCCUUAACUUUUGCAUGUGCACUUAUUCCCUGCCUCCCUGUCUUCCUCGCUCAUUAAUUUUUCAUUGGAAUUCGAGCUGGGCAAUUUAGGAUUUUUCCUUAUUUCCUGCUUUCCCGCAGCUUUUCCCCAACCUCUGAAGUGCGGAGGGAGGGAGAAGGAGAGGAGAGAAAUAGAAAAAGGAUGGAGAGUGCUUUUCUGUUGGACUAAAAGCACACCCUAAACAUCCCUCCCGGACAUACCUCUUGCUAUACCCUUUCCUCGACCUGCACCCACUCCCUGAGCCAUCCGGCGUAUAUCGGUCACCCAGCAGGGUGUCAGGCAGUGUUGUAGGUGCUGGAGAUACGGCAGAGAACAAAACAAAGUCCCUGUUCCCGUGGAGUUUACGUUCUAGGAGCGGGUAUAUGUCAGCCAACAGCCGGUAGCCAAAACACAGAAAUUCUGUCUGAUGGUGACUGGAGCUUCAAGCAUAAAUAAAGCAGAGUAAGGAAAAUAAGGGUAAGGGAGGUGCUAUUUCAUGUAGAGUGUGGUUAGGGAGACCACUUGAAGGAAGGAAGGACAGGCCUGGGAGAUGCCUGCAGGAAGAGCAGCAAGUGGAAGGGUCCAGAUGAAGGAAUGAAUGUUCAAGAGCAAGAAGAUCAGUCUGGCUGGAGUCAAGUGAGAGGGAGACCAGAUCACGUGCCAGAUCUUUAGUGGAGAUGGGGGACUUCGUCAAAACUGCCACUGAAGAUUUCUGAAUGACCACGUAUUUUCUCAGUUGGAGUCAGUUGAUUUCCCAAUGCCUUGUCCUACCCCUUCGCUUCAUCUCAUGCCAUGCACCAGUCA